This 497-nucleotide ribosomal RNA is filed under the name uncultured bacterium. RNAcentral describes it as "partial 16S ribosomal RNA". It matches the Rfam family "Bacterial small subunit ribosomal RNA", at positions 28 to 507 of the family's 1533-position model. The record is from RNAcentral.
GACGAACGCUGGCGGCGUGCCUAAUACAUGCAAGUCGAGCGAACAGACGAGGAUCUUGCGCCUCUGACGUUAGCGGCGGACGGGAGAGUAACACUAGGAUACCCUUCCUAUAAGACUGGGAUAACUUCGGGAAACCGGAUCUAAUACCGGAUAAUAUGUUGAACCGCAUGGGUUAAUAGUGAACGACGGUUUUGGUUUCACUUAUAGAUGGAUCCGCGCCGGAUUAGCUAGUUGGUAAGGUAACGGCUUACCAAGAGAACGAUGCGUAGCCGACCGGAGAGGGGGGUCGGCCACACUGGAAGUGAGACACCGUCCAGACGCCUACGGGAGGCAGCAGUAGGCAAUCUUCCGCAGUGGGCGAAAACCUGACGGAACGACGGCACGUCAGUGAUGGAGGUCUUCGGAUCGUAAUGCUCUGUUAUUAGGGAAGAACAAAUGUGUACGGAACUGUGGACGUAUUGACGGUACCUAGUCAAAAAGCCACGGCUAACUACGUG